CGGUCCUACGGGGGGCAGCAGUCGGGAAUAUUGCGCAAUGGAGGAAACUCUGACGCAGUGACGCCGCGUGCAGGAAGAAGGUUUUCGGAUUGUAAACUGCUUUAGAUAGGGAAGAAAAAAAUGACAGUACCUAUAGAAUAAGCUCCGGCUAACUACGUGCCAGCAGCCGCGGUAAUACGUAGGGAGCGAGCGUUAUCCGGAUUUAUUGGGCGUAAAGGGAACGCAGGCGGUCUUUUAAGUCUGAUGUGAAAGCCUUCGGCUUAACCGGAGUAGGGUAUUGG
Molecule: ribosomal RNA, 281 nt
Filed under: uncultured bacterium
Lineage: Bacteria
Description: partial 16S ribosomal RNA
Rfam family: Bacterial small subunit ribosomal RNA
Source: RNAcentral